This 104-nucleotide microRNA precursor is filed under the name Pelobates cultripes (western spadefoot toad). Lineage: Eukaryota; Metazoa; Chordata; Amphibia; Anura; Pelobatidae. The record is from RNAcentral.
GAUAUACAUACACAUGGUGUGUGUUUCUGUUUAUCUAAGUCAUUGUGUAUCUGUAUUUCUGUAUGUGUCAGAUAAACAGAAACACACAACGUGUAUCUGUAUAU